RNAcentral lists this ribosomal RNA (102 nucleotides) under uncultured bacterium. Its description in RNAcentral is "partial 16S ribosomal RNA". It matches the Rfam family "Bacterial small subunit ribosomal RNA", at positions 254 to 353 of the family's 1533-position model. The record is from RNAcentral.
GAGGUAACGGCCCACCAAGGCGACGAUCAGUAGCCGACCUGAGAGGGUGACCGGCCACAUUGGGACUGAGACACGGCCCAAACUCCUACGGGAGGCAGCAUG